AGCCUGCCCAGUGACAAAGUUCAACGGCCGCGGUACCCUAACCGUGCGAAGGUAGCAUAAUCACUUGUUCUUUAAAUGAGGACUCGUAUCAACGGCACUACGAGGGCUAUACUGUCUCCUUUUUCUAAUCAGUGAAACUGAUCUCCCCGUGAAGAAGCGGGGAUCAAAAUAUAAGACGAGAAGACCCCAUGGAGCUUUAAACUCACUAUACACCUCUGUGCCUUUAUGCCACUAGACACAAGAGAUCUGCGUACUAGUUUUAGGUUGGGGGGACCACGGAGUAUAAUUUAACCUCCAUAACAAAUGGGCUAACACCCUUAUCUACGAGACACAACUCUAAGAAUUACUAAACUAAUGCUUAUGACCCGAUAUUCGAUCAAUGAACCAAGUUACCCUGGGGAUAACAGCGCAAUCUACUUCAAGAGCCCGUAUCGACAAGUGGGUUUACGACCUCGAUGUUGGAUCAGGGUAUCCCGGUGGUGCAGCCGCUACCGACGGUUCGUUUGUUCAACGAUUAAAACCCUACGUGAUCU
This 533-nucleotide ribosomal RNA is filed under the name Rana graeca (Greek frog). Its description in RNAcentral is "partial large subunit ribosomal RNA". It matches the Rfam family "Bacterial large subunit ribosomal RNA", at positions 1856 to 2606 of the family's 2925-position model. The record is from RNAcentral. Lineage: Eukaryota; Metazoa; Chordata; Amphibia; Anura; Ranidae.